This 253-nucleotide ribosomal RNA is filed under the name uncultured bacterium. RNAcentral's name for it is "partial 16S ribosomal RNA". It matches the Rfam family "Bacterial small subunit ribosomal RNA", at positions 524 to 776 of the family's 1533-position model. The record is from RNAcentral.
UACGUAGGUGGCAAGCGUUGUCCGGAAUUAUUGGGCGUAAAGCGCGCGCAGGCGGUCUCUUAAGUCUGAUGUGAAAGCCCACGGCUCAACCGUGGAGGGUCAUUGGAAACUGGGGGACUUGAGUGCAGAAGAGGAAAGCGGAAUUCCACGUGUAGCGGUGAAAUGCGUAGAGAUUUGGAGGAACACCAGUGGCGAAGGCGACUUUCUGGUCUGUAACUGACGCUGAGGCGCGAAAGCGUGGGGAGCGAACAGG